AGAAGGAACUAGAUAGAUUAGGUGAAUCGGGUUGGAAGUGAAAGCCACCAAAAAGUAGCGGAAUGCUCUCAAAACCAAUUCACUUGAGUGAGACAGAAGAGAGUGGAAUUUCAUGUGUAGGGGUGAAAUUCGAAGAUCUACGAAGGAAAGCCAAAAGCGAAGGCAGCUCUCUGGGUCACUACCAAUGCUGAGGUGCAAAAGCAUGGGGAGCGGACAGGAUUAGAAACCCUGGUAGUCCAUCCCGUAAAUGAUGAGUGUUCGCCCUUGGUCUACGUGGAUCAGGGGCCCAGCCCCUGCUUUUUCU
This 304-nucleotide non-coding RNA is filed under the name Capsicum annuum. Its description in RNAcentral is "Bacterial small subunit ribosomal RNA". It matches the Rfam family "Bacterial small subunit ribosomal RNA", at positions 566 to 865 of the family's 1533-position model. Lineage: Eukaryota; Viridiplantae; Streptophyta; Magnoliopsida; Solanales; Solanaceae. The record is from Rfam by way of RNAcentral.